RNAcentral lists this long non-coding RNA (990 nucleotides) under Prunus dulcis (almond). Its description in RNAcentral is "sRNA ncRNA". Lineage: Eukaryota; Viridiplantae; Streptophyta; Magnoliopsida; Rosales; Rosaceae. The record is from RNAcentral.
CCCUCCAUUUCCAAGUUUCAUAUCCCAAAAAAGCAAACUCCUCAAAAGCAGACAACUUUCUUUUCACUCAUAUCAGAAAAAAGAUAAGCUAAGAAACAUGGCAGAGAAGGCUUAUCCUGCAGCCCCGGCAAACCAUGGUUACCAAAGAAGUGAUGCAGAGUCUUUGGAAAAUGCUGAUGAGCUGAAACGCAAGAAGAAAAUCAAAUUGGCCAUAUAUAUUACUAUUUUCGUUGUGUUUCAGAUCAUAGUUAUCACCACAAUGAGUCUCACUGUCAUGAAAGUGAAAACCCCCAGGUUCAGGCUAGGCAACAUCAAUGUCGAAAACUUCGUAUCUGACUCGGCAGCGCCUUCAUUCGACACGAAAUUCACAACCCAAAUCAAGAUCAAGAACUCAGCCAACUGGGGUUCCUACAAGUUCAAUGCUGCCAAUAUCACGUUUCAACACCAAGGAGCGACUCUGGCAGUAAUUGAUAUCGCAAAGGGCAAGGCUGGAUGGCUUUCGACCAUAAAAAGAACUGCGGAGGUGAGUUUGAAGUCAAGUGCAAUAAAUGGUUCAAACUUUGGAAGUGAAUUGAGCAGCGGGGUGUUGACUCUCAACAGCGUAGGAAGAUUGAACGGAAAAGUUGCAAUUAUGUUCAUCAUGAAGAAGAAGAAGGCCGCCAACAUGAACUGCACCAUAGCUUUUGAUGUGGCAGCCAAGAACGUCAAAUCUUUACACUGCAAGUGAAAAAAACAGACCAUGAUUUGAUUUCUCUAUAAUGAUGUGGAUUUUGGAUUGAUGAAGACUAGUUCUUGGAUUAUUUUUCGUCAUUGAUAUUCUUUUUUUUUUCUAUAGCUAUGAGUGACACUUGUAUUGUAUUUUGUUUGUAGAAUUACAAUACUACUUUAUUGCUAUUCUUUUUACUUUAUGUUUAUCAAAUGGCUUAAAUCAUGUAUCUUGUUUAUCCAAUAAGGGCCAAUAUAUUUGCAGAAAUAGAUAUCUUAGGAUCA